UAGGGAAUCUUCCGCAAUGGACGAAAGUCUGAUGGAGCAACGCCGCGUGAGUGAAGAAGGGUUUCGGCUCGUAAAGCUCUGUUGGUAGUGAAGAAAGAUAGAGGUAGUAACUGGCCUUUAUUUGACGGUAAUUACUUAGAAAGUCACGGCUAACUACGUGCC
RNAcentral lists this ribosomal RNA (162 nucleotides) under uncultured bacterium. RNAcentral describes it as "partial 16S ribosomal RNA". It matches the Rfam family "Bacterial small subunit ribosomal RNA", at positions 355 to 509 of the family's 1533-position model. The record is from RNAcentral.